UCUUUUUCAAAAGAAAUUCUGAUAAAGUUUUUCUUUUCUUUUUUUUUAAGUCUUUUCAAUUUUCUUUUUUAAAAAAAAAAAAGCAAAGGGAAGACUCGAUAGGAGGAGCCAUUGAUAGAAGUAGCUCCAAUAGGUUCGUCUUUUGGACCCCCCAAAGCCAUUCCCAUUCCCAUUAAAAAGAGAGAGAGAGAGAGAGAGAGAGAGAGAGAGAAAGAGAAGCUAAAGAAAAGUCUAUCUUUUCUCUCCACUGAGUGAUUUGUUUUUUUGGUUGGGUGUUGUGGCUGUAGCUGUUAUAACUUCAAAAGCAUAGAAUAGGCGGCUAGAGCAUAUCAGUUCUGGGAUUUUGCUUUUUCAUCUCUUCAUUUAAAGAAGGAGUUCCGCAAGGGUUUUGAGAACAGAGUGCUAAUUCGAUGUGCAGUGGGUCAAAGAGGAAACCAACUCACCUUGGUUUCAUCGAUGAGUUGCAAAAAGAAGAUUAUUUUUGCUAUGAUCUCUCUAUUUUGCUCGAAUUGUCUGCUUCCAAUGAUCUGAUUGGGUUUAAGAGAGCAAUUGAAGAAGAAGGCCGUGAUGUUGAUGAACCUGGCUUGUGGUACGGCCGGAGAAUUGGCUCAAGAAAGAUGGGAAUUGAGGAGAGGACACCCCUCAUGAUUGCGGCCUUGUUUGGAAGCAAAGAUGUCUUGAAUUAUAUCCUGGAAACAGGUCGUGCUGAUGUUAAUAGAGGGUUGGGUUCUGAUGGGGCCACAGCACUCCACUGUGCUGCUGCAGGCGGCUCUGCAGCUUCUCUUGAGGUUGUUAAGCGCUUGCUUGAUGCCUCUGCUGAUCCUAGUGCUGUUGAUGCUAACGGAAAUCACGCAGGUGAUUUGAUAGCUCCAGUUGUUAGUUCUGGUCUUACUUCUAGGAGAAAGGCAUUAGAGAUCAUGCUAAAGGGUGGUAGCUCUGGUGAUGAAUUUUGUGUUUUGGCUGAUCAGAACCCUUUUGAAAUGUAUGGUCAAGAGCUGCAAGAAGUUUCAACACCGAGAGUAUCAAAAGAUGGGACUGAGAAGAAAGAAUAUCCUGUUGAUCUCACUCUUCCAGAUAUCAAGAAUGGUAUAUAUGGUACUGAUGAAUUUAGAAUGUAUACAUUCAAGGUCAAGCCUUGCUCAAGGGCCUAUUCCCAUGACUGGACGGAGUGUCCAUUUGUUCACCCUGGUGAGAAUGCAAGGCGGAGAGAUCCAAGGAAAUACCAUUAUAGCUGUGUCCCAUGCCCUGAGUUUCGCAAGGGUUCGUGCAGGCAGGGUGAUGCUUGUGAAUAUGCACAUGGUAUUUUUGAGUGCUGGCUUCACCCUGCCCAGUAUCGAACACGUCUCUGCAAAGAUGAAAUUAAUUGCACAAGGAGGGUUUGUUUCUUUGCUCACAAGCCUGAAGAGCUUCGCCCCUUGUAUGCUUCAACGGGGUCGGCUGUACCUUCACCUAGAUCCUACUCGGCUAAUGGUUCAACCCUGGAUAUGGGUUCUAUUAGCCCGCUUGCGCUUGGUUCUCCAUCUGUCUUGAUACCACCUACAUCAACCCCGCCAAUGACUCCCACUGGGUCCUCUUCUCCUAUGGGUGGAUGGUCAAACCAAUCUAAUAUUGUACCCCCUACCUUGCAGCUUCCUGGUAGCAGGUUGAAAUCUGCACUGAGUGUUAGAGAUAUGGAAUUAGAAAUGGAGUUGCUUGGGCUUGAUAGUCACCGUCGCCGGCAACAACUGAUGGAUGAGUUAUCUGGUCUCUCCUCACCGUCUAGCUGGAAUAAUGGUUUGUCCACUUCUUCAGCUUUUGCUGCCUCCUCUAGUGAUCGAACUGGGGAGUUACACAGGCUUGGAGGAGUGAAGCCCACUAACCUUGAAGACAUUUUUGGAUCUCUUGAUCCUUCAAUUUUGCCUCAGUUGCAGGGACUUUCUGUGGAUGCUACUUCAUCCCAAUUGCAGUCUCCAACCGGUAUUCAAAUUCGCCAGAACAUUAAUCAGCAGCUCCGCUCGAGCUAUCCGACCAACUUCUCAUCCUCCCCCGUUAGGCCAUCUUCCUUUGGGAUUGAUCCAUCUGGUGCAGCGGCAGCAGCAGUUUUGACUUCGAGGUCAGCCGCCUUUGCAAAAAGAAGUCAAAGCUUUGUUGAACGAAGUGCUGUGAACCGUCAUACUGGGUUUUCUUCACCCACUUCUUCAGCAACCAUAAUGGCUUCUAACUUUUCAGAUUGGGGUUCCCCUGAUGGCAAAUUAGAUUGGGGUAUCCAAGGAGAAGAGCUUAAUAAGCUGCGCAAGUCUGCUUCUUUCGGCAUUCGAAACAAUGGGGGAGCUGGAGCAGCUGCAACCUCAUUGCCAGCGACUCUUAAUGCGCCAGAUGUGUCGUGGGUGCAGUCCCUGGUGAAGGAUGCCCCUUCUACGAGUCCUCGGCAGUUGGGUUUUGAGGAGCAGCAGCAAUGCCAUCUUAACACCGGAAAUUCAGAAAUAUUUCCAGCCUGGGUGGAGCAAUUGUACAUUGAGCAGGAGCAGAUGGUGGCUUAAACCAACAUUAGCCCCCAUAUGGCUCCUAAAUUAACAUUUUAACUAGUAAUCUUCUUUUAAUUUGUUUUUUUAUGUUUAUUAAUUUCAAAUUAUAUCCAGUAGGAAAGAAAUUGGAGAAAGGAAAAAGAAAAAAGGAGUUGGGCAGGUGAAGGAUUUCUGCUCAUAGCAUUAUUAGGUUAUGUUGAAUGAUGAAUUAUUUUUUCUAGGUAAUUUGGUUUGUGUAUUUGCUGAUUCCUGGCAAGCAGAUAGAAGAAGGCAUGGAAGCAUAUUCUUGUGCUGACAGAGAUGAGAAUAGAGGGGGGCUGGGUAGUGCAAAGUAUACCUGAUUUCAUUUUUACUAAGUGUUGGAUUAUUUCUACUUUGUAGGUACAUGUAUGUUUUUCUUCAAGUAUGGCUUUCACAUCCCAACCUUAAUUCUGUAAUCUGAUGGGGGUUCUUAAUAGCUGAGAAAUAAUGCAUAGAGACGUUGGCAUCCAGCUCUCUGAAUGUUAGAAAAGGAAAAGUUUUUCAGUAAAAUUUAUUGGUCGCGUCCUCUGUAACUUGUAUACUUUAUUAGAUAUAUCCAUAAUCUAAAAGUUUCUCAUACUAUUAUGCUGAGUGACCAAACCAGUGAUAUAUUUUAUUUUUCUUGCUGAAAGGUGAAAGGCUGAUCUGCUCCACGAUUCUGAAAUGGUGGGGGGGAGAAUGUUGAGCACUGAGGAAAAGGGUAGCUCCUAAUUGCAUCUUUUGAUCCAACUUUCAUGAGCACAAUAUUAAAGAAACAAACAUCCUGAUUCUAUUUCUUGCUGACAUCUAAAAAUUAUAUUAUACCCUUUGAGUCAACAUUGCAGCUUCCAUCUCAAUCUGCCGGCUUUCUUGAACUGAAUCACUAAGAAUAUAUAUAUUAUUAUCAUUUUGGUUGA
RNA transcript from Ricinus communis (castor bean), 3421 nucleotides. It is a transcript of the gene named zinc finger CCCH domain-containing protein 66, with no coding region annotated. The transcript is spliced from 3 exons. The record is from RefSeq and is a predicted model, not a curated record. Lineage: Eukaryota; Viridiplantae; Streptophyta; Magnoliopsida; Malpighiales; Euphorbiaceae.